This 76-nucleotide transfer RNA is filed under the name bacterium. RNAcentral describes it as "tRNA-Val". It matches the Rfam family "tRNA". Rfam says of the family: Transfer RNA (tRNA) molecules are approximately 80 nucleotides in length. Their secondary structure includes four short double-helical elements and three loops (D, anti-codon, and T loops). The record is from RNAcentral. RNAcentral also lists the same sequence under 6 other names.
GGGCGGUUAGCUCAGUUGGUAGAGCAUCUCGUUUACACCGAGAAUGUCGGCGGUUCGAGACCGUCACCGCCCACCA